RNAcentral lists this non-coding RNA (711 nucleotides) under Pan troglodytes (chimpanzee). Lineage: Eukaryota; Metazoa; Chordata; Mammalia; Primates; Hominidae. The record is from RNAcentral.
GACGGGCCCAGGAUUCAGCUUGGAGGGGGCUCUCAGUGUUUGAGGUUCUUUCAUCAUAAGUUGGUCACUGUAUUUCCUAAAGGAAUGACCUCCCUUCUUCAAGAGGUAAUCACACAUGCCCUGCUGAACUGGACAGAAAGCGGUAGCCAAAUAUCCUGUCGUCAAGCCUCCUUCAAGAUAACUCUGUAAGGAAAAAGGAGGACAGACAUUUAAUGACUUGUACAAGGCCAAACACCAAAUCAAGGACAAACUAGAAUACAAUCUCCUGAUAUUUGAAGUUGGGGAAGAGGGAAAAUGCAGGAAGAAGGAUAGAGCUGUUCAAGAGAAAUGCCUCAUACUAUUUCUUCUAUACGGAGGUGCAGAGAUUCUCCAUAACUCAAUCAUUCCAAGUCAUGUGGCAGGCCUAAGAUGAGACACUAUGAUUAUGAGUUUUACAGAAGUGGCAAAGAGAAGAAAAAAAAAAAAGGAUCAUCAAGAUUGCUAUAUUAACAGCCCCUUUUAAUAUAAGGCUUUUCAUCUAUUGAACCACAGCAUAGAGUUAAUACAUAGAAAACAACUCUCAAAUAAAUGCAAAUCAAUAGGCUCUCCACUGAUUAUUAUAUAAAGCAAUACAUUGCAGGGGAAUAAACCAAUAAUGCCUCUAUAUUUUGAAGUGUUCACUAAUUCUGAGUAAUUACCUCCUCCAAUGGCUCUAAUGAGUGCAAAUCUGUG